ACAAGUACCUAGCUUUUAUAUUAGAAUUCUUCCAGGAAUUACUAAAACUAAAAUUACUAUCUUUGAGAAAGCAUAAACUAAAGUCUAGGUAAGAGAAAGGCAUGAUAUAAAGUUGAGCUACUGUUUAUCUUGUUCCUACUACACCAAGUUCUAGAGAUUUAUUUUUGAAAACUUACAAAUCACAUGAUGAGUUCCUAGCAUAACAAACUACCUACCAAAGCCAUACUUGCUAUAACAUCUUUACUAUAUUCACAUUGAGUUUGAUCGAGCUGUGUUGACCCUUAGGAGCUUUUCAUGUGGUUAAAUUAAGAUAUUCACUUGCACGCAUCUACCACAGCAUUUAUUAUCAAUCAUUAAAAUUGCUAAAAAUAUUAUCACUCACUGUCCCGAAUAUUGUUAUUCUCUCUCUCUAAAAAGAUUCAAUGCAGAAGAGGCAUGGGUUAUGCAAAAAAAAUAUAUACGAGGAAAUAAAAAGGGGCAAGUGCCCGGAACCUCGAUAAAAGAAAAAGAGUGAGACGAGAGGUAAAAAUGGACAAGUGUCCGAAGUAGAAUUAGGGGUACAAAGAUGCCCACUUGAGCGGAAAAAAUGGACAAGUGUCCGACAGUAGAAUUAGGGGUAUCCACUACCCACCUGAAAAAAAAACAAGAGAGAAGAAAAAUAGCCCAUUUUCUCCCAAAGCAAAGAUCAAAGAAGAGGAGAGAUAGCAAUAUGAGGAGCAAUGAGAAGUAAAUUUUAUUAUCACUUAUGCAUUUUCACCAUCACUAUCAUUUACUCCAUCACACAUGCACAUCUUGAUUUAAUUAUAUGCUGAGUUCCUUUGGAUCCAUGGCUCGAUUAGACAACAUAUGUAUGAGCUGUUUGCACUCCUAUGAGCUCCACUUAAUUAUUCCAGUAGCUAUAGGUAAGUGACAUUAUGGUAAGGAUCCACAAAUACCACAUAUAGAGAGACUUGAGAGAAUCAUUGCUGGGAACUCUGAGUUUUAUUUUGAAAACUUAUGAAAAACUCUAGAACAAAGGUGAAGUAUAGACAGGAGGGAUAGUGCUUGAAUUAACUAUUUUGUCUUUCGAUUACUUAAGAUUUAAGUGCAGGUACUAAACUUCAUAACACUUCACUUUAAUCUAGAAGAAUUUUUAUGUAAAAGCAUGUGUGCCUGUCAGGAAAGAAAACAUCGAAGCAACUCCUGAUCCGUCUGAGUUUAGCUAUUUGCUUAGGGACGAGCAAAGGGUAAGCUUGGGGGAGUUUGUUGACGGUCCUUAAGUACUAAAAUUAAUAAUCAAAUAAACAUGAAAAAGGAUCAAUAUGAAACAAACAUCUAGAGUUAGGGUUUUAUCUGAGAGAAUUCCACGAGUUUUGGUGUUUAUCUAUUUCUGCAGGGGUUUAUCAGAAAAUAGGGAGAGAAGGCCCACAUGUCAUGUAUACAACGAGAUAAUUACGUGCCGCGCAAUUUUACUCCAUCUAGAAGGAUCCAGAAGCCACGGGAACGAACGGGACGCGAUUCGGGCUCGGGGGCUGGGCGGCCGCCCACCCCCCUUGGGCGCCCGCCCAGGUGGAGAGUCCAAUCAGGACUCUGCUUCGGGACAAUCCUCCACCGACCUAAAGGAUCAAUCUAAACCAUACAAUCUAUGUCGGUUUGAUCCAAUGGCUCACGUUCACUUGAGGGGACUAUAAAACCAGAUCCCCUGGCCCCUGGAGGAGAGGAGGAGAAAUCAUUAUUCAGAGGUAGCCAUCAAAGUUAGGGUUUAGAGCUUCUCUCCCACAGAGAAUUAGAAUUAGCUACUCCCUAAUCCUUCAAGUUUAGAGGUUUGAUUAGAUAGCAAUUAGAGAAGUAGAGCACUACGCUCUGGAUUCGGAUCUUCGGUAAUAAAGAUUGGUAUUAUUCAUAUCUUUCUCUAAUUCUAUUGUUCUAAUUGCAUUAUGUCUCUAAUUAUUAUGUUCUUAGUUUGCUCUAGUUCUAUAUUUGAUAUAGUUCUAAUUGAUAAUGAGUUUAUGUAUAAGUUUGCAAAGCGCUUAGCUCUUGUCGCGAGGGAGUUAGGUGAUAGAUCACAUGUGAGCGUGGUGCUUAGAUGUUAUUUAUCUGCAAAUGUAUCCUAUUGGCCGAGUCGUGUGGUAGUUCGCGAUAGUGACAGCUUCGUUGAUUCUUAUAUAGUCCACCCUCCGUUGAUAGGACAGGCAGAACCGGUAUUGUGGAGUAAGUCAUGCGAUGUUCUGAUUUACUUUAUCAAUGUUCCUUAUACAUGAAUGAAGAGUCUUUUAUACUAUAUAUGAUCUUGUAGAUAACUAGAGUAGAUUAUGACUUAGUAGUUAGUAGAUGACUUAGAAUCCAUUCUCUAGCUAAUCCGACAUCACCUACAUAUAUGAGGAGUAGUCUAUUUUCUAAUCGCUGUGCUCUUUACCCCAUGAACUUAUACUUUAUUAUCAUUAUCUUUAUGGUUUACCCCCUGCUAAAGUAUGUGAUUGUGUGACGAGUUUCUCAUUAGUAAUCAUGUUCUUGCAAGUUUAUCUCUAGUCUAUGCCUUGAUAGAUUUUGCCCCCUUUGAUUUAAUUCCAUCUUCCUCAGAUCCCUAAGUAAAAUUAUAAAUAACGAUACCUGGAAUACUUAUCCUGGUGAAAUGCUACAAUGAGGUGUUUUAUCUGUGCGCUUGCGGAUAGAAUAGAUUAUUUUCUAGAGAGCCUUUAUAUUUAUAAAUACCUUUGUACACUCUGGCGCCAUGCUAGGGAUGAGAACCUAGUAUCUAAGUGGUGUUAGCUAGUGUCAACAAUUACAACAAAGUUGUAGGGAAUUUUAUGCAGAACAAUUCUUCUUUUUACUCCAACCCAUAAAAAGAUUUGUAAAAGCUUCAAAAAGCCUCAUUUAAGCUUUUUGGGGAAAUAAUUUCAAAAAAAAAAAGAAAACGGGGUAGGCACUGCUAGGCCAACCCGCCUCCCUUUCGGCCCAGCCAGAGAGCACGGCCCGGUUUCCACUCCCUCUCUCUCCCGUGCGCGGACGCCCGCUUUCGUCCACCCGACGCCGGCCACGUGGCGGCCGUACGUCGGCGUCGUGGACGCGCCGCGGCCGACCGGCCUUAACCUGGUCGGGACGCCGCCCCGCGCCCCCAGGCCACUCCAUUCUGUUCCCUCCCCGCUCCCCUCUUCUUCAUCCGCUCGUGAGUGCCGCAGCCGUAGCAGCUCCGCCGCAACGCCAUCGCCGGAGAGCUCCGCCGCUUACCGCCGGCCACACCAGUGACCUAUCCUCGGCGCCAAAACUACCACUGCACUCAUCUUCGCCGCGGUAAGCUUCUGCGCACGCUCUACCGAGGUGAGAGACCGCCGCACGCCGUGAAUCGCUCGCCGGAGUUUCCCCGACCUCAUCGGAGUGCUCGGUCACGUCGAACCUCGCUCGUUUCUGCCUCGCUUUGCUUGCUUCUGGGCGCGUUAGGUCCGUAGCUCGACGAGGAAGCCCCGACAGAACCCCCCGCGCGCUCUACCGCAACGGAGCGGCCUGGCCACGGCGAGCAGCGCCGCCGUGCCGCCAUGCAUGCUCGCGAGGGUGCUCCGGUCAUCUUCCGGCCGAUCCAAGGGCACCCUUGGGUGCGCCUCGCUGAUGGGAGCACGAUGGUGCUCACCCCGUGGCCGGAGACCUCACCGCCGACGAGAUCCGCUCGUCGGAGGUGCCCUCCCUCUCGAUCACGCUGACCAGUGGGGUCGGGGGCCGACUGUCAGUCGCAGGGGGGACCGAGAUGGGUAGAGAUCCGGGUGUAUUUAGUGUUUUUCAUCCCAAUUUCGAAUUGGUUUUUCAGAAAAUAAUUUACAGAAAAUAGUUUAAAUGAUAUAAAAUCCAUAUCUUGAGAUAUAUGGCUCCAAAAUGGAUGAAAUAAAUUUUGAUGUGUUCUAUAAUCUCAGAUCUAUAGUUUGCUGUGGCUGCAUGUCAUGUUUGAACAACUUUUCUGUACAAAUAUAUUUAAUCCAUGUUUUUGCUGAAAAUUGGAAAAUGCAUAGUAAUUAAAAUAUAGCUCAGAAAAAUAUGAAACUUGUUUUGUUGGCUCUGCAUGGAUGAUUAGGCUCUGGGAAAAAUAUGUUACACAUUAUUUGCUGUAUGAAUUAAUUUAUGGUGAUUUAAAUGCUUGCAUGGCAGUGGUUUAUGAUUUUUAAUAAAUAAUUGGAUCAUGCAAUUAAUCUGAAAAUUUUUGUGGGUAUUUCUUAUGUUAACAAGUUAAUUAUAAAAAUAUGAAAUCUGCUGUUUGACACUUAUACCACAGUAGGGUUAACAUACUUGCUUAUAUAGAUUAAUCUUGUGAUUUUUUAGCUCAAAAUAAAUGUCCAAAUAUUAUGAGAAAUUUAUGGUAGACUUUAUGGUUGACUAGUAGUCUCCUGUAAUUUUUGUGGAAUUUAUUGAUAAACAGACAUAUAUGCUACUUUUGUAGGACUAAAAGUGGAUAGAUAAAUUAAGAAUUGUUAUACAUAGAUUAAAUAAAGUAAGAGGAUGUUUGGUGUAUCUUUGAAGCAUCAUGUGAGCUUGCUGGUUAACCUUGAAGGCAACUUGUAGAAGAGAAUGUAAUAGAUGUUUAGUUCGAUUACAUGUUCUUAGCCUAUCCUGUCACUCCGAAGGGGUGGGGCCCGCGAGGGUUAGGAGUUGUUUCCAAUUACUGAACAUGGUGUUCAGGUAUGCGGGAAUCAGUGGAUGUGCGGGUAUCUUUCGGGUAGAGGGGUAGGUGGCAGGGUAGUGACAGCUCUGUCAUCCUUUGCAUUCCCCCACGAUCAGGUAUUCCGAUAGGAGUUAUGUAAAGUCUCUAUCGGCUGGGUAUCCAGCUGCGGGGAUCUCCCCUCACCUUAGGCUUAGUUCUAAAUCUAUUUAUUGCUAAUUAGAUGAUCCGCUAACAGUUUUUUGCAUAGUUCUAUGUGACCCAUGCCUGCUCAAGUAGAUUUAUUUCUUUAUUCUUUAUUUAUUAUUUCUCUUCUAUUUUAUCCUUAAGGUUGAUCCAAUGUGUGUCCACUAUCUUGAAUAUCUUUAUUCCUGUUUACUCUAUGUCUACCAUGCAUUCAAUAAGUAAUCAUGUUUACACCAUGUUUGAUCCCUUUGCCUUCCUAUGGGAAUUAUAAAUUCGACACCCUUGAAUACCACGGGUUGAAAUGCUACAAUGAUAGUUCUGUCCACUUGCAGUUAUAUUACUUCUUCAUUUAUGAACUAUCGACUGGUGUACCUAAGUACCAUUACUGAAGAUUGUAAUCCUUGUGCACUUUCAAGUGUAUUGCCACAGCUUUGCAUAUCGCAAGUAAGGAUGGUUAGGAAGGCCAAUCCGGCAUUCCUAAUUAUUGUUACCAGACUACACUGCUAAGGCCGGUGCCCUCGAGUUGCCUUGGGUUAUCUCUUUGAUGUAGCAAUAGUUACGGUAUGCCAACUGCCAAGCAUUUCUGGUGCCAGUGCUAAGGAUGGAUCUAUGGUCUAUUUUUAGUAGUGACGCUAAGAAAUGCCAACAAGCGUUUCUGGCGCCGCUGCCGGGGAAGGCAAAAAUCAUACUGGCAUAAACAUUGAUUGCAUAAUAAGCAUUGGUAGCCAUAGAUUAACGAGGAUAACUUUACUGUUUUCUUCCUCUUUUUAUUGGAAUGAAAACAGGAUAGUGUAUGAGCAGUUUCCACUUGCCGGCAAACUUCCACAGUGAUCCAGAAACACUCCAAGGAAGAGAAGGGUUCGUACCGUCUCUUCUUCUGCUACGCAAUCGGCAAGUGAAUCAACUGUUCCAGCACCAACCGCACCAAUCGGUAUGGCUAAGAGACUCCGUUACUAUUGUUGGCAUUUCUUAGCGUCACUACUAAAAAUAGAUCAUAAAUCCAUCCUUAGCAAUGGAACCAGAAAUGUCGGGUGUUGGCAUACCGUAACUAUCGCUACAUCAGAGAGAUAACCCAAGGCAACUCGAGGGUGCCGACCUUAGCAGUGCAGUCUCGUAAUAAUAAUUAGGAAUGCUAGAUUGGCCUUCCUAACCAUCCUUACUUGCGAUAUGCAAAGCUGUGGCACUACGCUUGAAAGUGCACAAGGAUUACAAGCUUAAGUAACGGUACUUAGGUACGCCAAUCGAUAGUUCAUGAAUGAAGAAGUAAUCUAACUACAAGCGGACAGAACUGUCAUUGUAGCAUUUCAACCCGUGAGUAUUCAAGGGUGUCAAAUUUAUAAUUCCCAUAGGAAGACAAAGGGAUCAAACAUGGUGUAAACUUGAUUACUUAUUGAAUGCUGUGUAGACAAAGAGUAAACAAGAAUAAACAUAAUAUUCAAGAUAGUGGACACACAUUGGAUCAACCUCAAGUAUAAAAUAGAAGAGAAAUAAUAAAUAAAUAAUAAAGAAAUAAAGAAAUAAAUCUACUUGAGCAGGCAUGGGUCACAUAUAACUAUGCAUAGAACUUUUAGCGGAUCAUCUAAUUAGCAAUAAAUAGAGUUAGAACUAAGCCUGAGAUGCGGGGAGAUCCCCGCAGCUGGAUACCCAGCUGAUAGAGACUUUACAGAACUCUUAUCAGAAUACCUGAUCGCGGGGGAAUGCAAAGGAUGACAGAGCUCUCACUACCCUGCCACCUACCCCUCUACCCGAAAGAUACCCGCGCAUCCACUGAUUUUUGCAUACCUGAACACCAUGUUCACGUAAUUGGAAACAACUCCUAACCCCCACGGGCCUCACCCCUUCGGAGUGACAGGCUAGGCUAAGAGCAACCAUCACAGCACAGUGAACCAUCAUCCCAUUCCUAAUUCUUAUCCUAAUCAUACUAAUCUAAUGAACAAUGAAGAACAAUGAUGAACAAGAACAUUGCACAAGAACUAAGAACUAGAUAUACUAUGAACAUGAUAAGGACACAACCAUACUCUAGUUCAUAUGCAUAAUCAUAUAAAGAUAAAUAGAACUUGCUCAUGGAAGAAGAUUGAAUAUUAUUCAUACCAAGAAGAUCCUUUCUUCCAAGGAGACAAGCUCUCCUUGCUAGCUCUUGCCUUGCUCUACUACUAAUCUAGACUAAAGAUACAAGUGAGCGGUGUGAGGUAAAUGACUCCAAAUGAUGUGUGUGUUGAAAAGGCAGGAGUGCCUCUCUUUUUAUAGUGAAACUAGGACGGUUCGUCGCAUCUAAAUUUGGUAGUAAGUGAAACCGUCCUAUGCAUGGCGACAUGCAACCACCUGAGAAAGGUGGGCCUGGUUUGCCGCCUCCAGGGGUGCGCCCGUACUAGGGUGCGGCCGCGCCCUAGGUGGGUCCCCCUGGCUAGCGCCUUCGUGUGGUCAGUUUGGCUCUGGGCCUGGAUCUCUCCCGUGGUUAUGAUCAGGCCUAGUUCUGCUUUGUUCGGGCCUUUCUCUAUUUUCUUGGUUUGCGCAUUUCUGAAUACGUCUUUUGGUACUUUGCGCUUUCUUCGUGGUAUGGCACAUUUCCACUUGUUGCACUAUAAUUCCUGCAUAAUAUAAUCACUAUGGUACAAGUGGAACUUGUUAGUAAUAAAAUGCAUGUGUGUAUAUAAUAUGAUUGCUUCUUCUCCUUUUGGAUCAACUUGGCAGUUUAUAAUUGGUCUAUAAUGACUGUCAACAACUCCCCCAAGCUUAACCUUUGCUUGUCUCAAGCAAAUAAUAAAGUAUGGUUGUUGAUCAGGAGUUGCUACUAUGCCGAUAUAAUUCAAGAGUAUCAUACCUAUAACAAAGCAUUCAUUCGCAAUUUAAAUAAGUUGGCAUGCUAUCCACUCUUUACCUUGACUUCUCAUGGGGCUUAUAGCUUUUCCAAGUUCUUGGGUGGUUGCAAGAUAGAAUGGUUGUAACAGACUCACCAUUCAUUCAUCCCUUGAUAGACCAUCAAUCCGGAGGUUUUAUAAUUUUUUUGCAAAAUAAAUAAGUUCCUUGAAUGAUUAUCUCGAUCGCUCAAUGUGUAUGAAAUCCUCACCAAAGGCAUUUGUGUUUGCCUUUACGACCUACCACUAAGGCUGAGAAUGGAGCUUUGGGAAGGUAUUAAGGUGGGCAUACUUACGACACUUGUGUUGCCAAGUCAAAGCCCGGACCAUGGGGAGAUACAAGUCAUACACCUUGAUUAAGUUGUGCAAGUGUGUGGAAUUUUUGGUGGUAGUCCUAUGUAAAUAUUUUUGGUUACUCCUUGUAUCAUGACUCUGUUUAUUUGAGGAACAGAAUGAGAGAAUGUAAACAUAUGGACCCUAAAUAAAUGGAUCAUAUAUAUAUAUAUAUAUAUUCUGACGGGGAUUUUGAUUUUCCCGUCCAUGCCCUUUGGCUUUUCCUUCACUUUUUUCAUGGAUAACUGAUGCCCACAUGUUUCAAAGGGAUCUCAAAGAGGUAAAUGGCGAGAUGUCAUGAUGGUGAUGUAAGGAGUAAAAUUGUGUAUGAGGAUGCGCAAACCUCAGGGUGAGAGUUUGGCAUACUUAUUUGGUGGAAGCUGUUGACACUAGCUAACACCACUUAGAUACUAGGUUGUCAUCCCUAGCAUGGCGCCAGAGUGUACAAAGGUAUUUAUAAAUGUAAAGGCUCUCUAGAAAAUAAUCUAUUCUAUCCGCAAGCGCACAGAUAAAACACCUCAUUGUAGCAUUUCACCAGGAUAAGUAUUCCAGGUAUCGUUAUUUAUAAUUUUGCUUAGGGAUCUGAGGAAGAUGGAAUUAAAUCAAAGGGGGCAAAAUCUAUCAAGGCAUAGACUAGAGAUAAACUUGCAAGAACAUGAUUACUAAUGAGAAACUCGUCACACAGUCACUUACUUAAGCAGGGGGUAAACCAUAAAGAUAAUGAUAAUAAAGUAUAAGUUCAUGGGGUAAAGAGCACAGCGAUUAGAAAAUAGACUACUCCUCAUAUAUGUAGGUGAUGUCGGAUUAGCUAGAGAAUGGAUUCUAAGUCAUCUACUAACUACUAAGUCAUAAUCUACUCUAGUUAUCUACAAGAUCAUAUAUAGCAUAAAAGACUCUUCAUUCAUGUAUAAGGAACAUUGAUAAAGUAAAUCAGAACAUCGCAUGACUUACUCCACAAUACCGGUUCUGCCUGUCCUAUCAACGGAGGGUGGACUAUAUAAGAAUCAACGAAGCUGUCACUAUCGCGAACUACCACACGACUCGGCCAAUAGGAUACAUUUGCAGAUAAAUAACAUCUAAGCACCAUGCUCACAUGUGAUCUAUCACCUAACUCCCUCGCGACAAGAGCUAAGCGCUUUAUAAACUUAUACAUAAACUCAUUAUCAAUUAGAACUAUAUCAAAUAUAGAACUAGAGCAAACUAAGAACAUAAUAAUUAGAGACAUAAUGCAAUUAGAACAAUAGAAUUAGAGAAAGAUAUGAAUAAUACCAAUCUUUAUUACCGAAGAUCCGAAUCCAGAGCGUAGUGCUCUACUUCUCUAAUUGCUAUCUAAACAAACCUCUAAACUUGAAGGAUUAGGGAGUAGCUAAUUCUAAUUCUCUGUGGGAGAGAAGCUCUAAACCCUAACUUUGAUGGCUACCUCUGAAUAAUGAUUUCUCCUCCUCUCCUCCAGGGGCCAGGGGGUCUGGUUUUAUAGUCCCCUCAAGUGAACGUGAGCCAUUGGAUCAAACCGACAUAGAUUGUAUGGUUUAGAUUGAUCCUUUAGGUCGGUGGAGCGUAGUCCCGAAGCAGAGUCCUGUUUGGCCUCCAACCCUGGGUGGGCGCCCAAGGGGGGUGGGCGGGCGCCCAGCCCCCGAGCCCGAAUCCCGUCCCGUUCGUUCCCGUGGCUUCUGGAUCCUUCUAGAUGGAGGAAAAUUGUGCGGCACGUAAUUAUCUCGUUGUAAACAUGACAUGUGGGCCUUCUCUCCAUAUUUUCUGAUAAACCCCUGCAGAAAUAGAUAAACACCAAAACUCGUGGAAUUCUGUCAGAUAAAACCCUAAUUCUAGAUGUUUGUUUCAUAUUGACCCUUUUUCAUGUUUAUUUGAUUAUUAAUUUUAGUACUUAAGGACCGUCAACAAACUCCCCCAAGCUUACCCUUUGCUCAUCCCUGAGCAAAUAGCUAAACUCAGACGGAUCAGAAGUUGCUUCGAUGUUUUCUUUCCUGACAGGCACACAUGCUUUUACAUAAAAAUUCUUCCAGAUUAGAGUGAAGUGUUAUGAAGUUUAGUACCUGCACUUAAGUCUUAAGUAAUCGAAAGACAAAAUAGUUAAGUCAAGCACUAUCCCUCCUGUCUAUACUUCACCUUUGUUCUAGAGUUUUUCAUAAGUUUUCAAAAUAAAACUCAGAGUUCCUAGCAAUGAUUCUCUUAAGUCUCUCUAUAUGUGGUAUUUGUGGAUCCUUACCAUAAUGUCACUUACCUAUAGCUAAUGAAAUAUUUAAGUGGAGCUCAUAGGAGUGAAAAACAGCUCAUACAUAUGUUGUCUAAUCGAGCCAUGGAUCCAAAGGAACUCAGCAUAUAAUUAAAUCAAGAUGUGCAUGUGUGAUGGAGUAAAUGAUAGUGAUGGUGAAAAUGCAUAAGUGAUAAUAAAACUUAGUUCUCAUUGCUCCUCAUAUUGCUAUCUUUCCUCCUCUUUGAUCUUUGCUUUGGGAGAACAUGGGCUAUCUUUUUUUUUCAGGUGGGUAAUAGAUACCCCUAAUUCUACUGUCGGACACUUGUCCAUUUUUUCUGCGCAAGUGGGCAUCUGUGUACCCCUAAUUCUACUUCGGACACUUGUCCAUUUUUACCUCUCGUCUCACUCUUUUUCUUUCUUUUUCGAGGUUCCCGGGCACUUGCCCCUUUUUAUUUCCUCGUAUAUAUUUUUGCAUAACCCAUGCCUCUUCUACAUUGAAUCUUUUUAGAGAGAGAGUAUAACAAUAUUCGGGACAGUGAGUGAUAAUAUUUUUAGCAAUUUUAAUGAUUGAUGAUGAAUGCUGUGGUAGAUGCGUUCAAGUGAAUAUCUUAAUUUAACCACAUGAAAAGCUCCUAAGGGUCAACACAGCUCGAUCAAACUCAAUGUAAAUAUAGUAAAAGAUGUUAUAGCAAGUAUGGCUGUGGUAGGUAGUUUGUUAUGCUAGGAACUCAUCAUGUGAUUUGUAAGUUUUCAAAAAUAAAUCUCUAGAACUUGGUGUAGUAGGAACAAGAUAAACAGUAGCUCAACUUUAUAUCAUGCCUUUCUCUUACCUAGACUUUAGUUUAUGCUUUCCCAAAGAUAGUAAUUUUAGUUUUAGUAAUUCCUGGAAGAAUUCUAAUAUAAAAGCUAGGUACUUGUAAGUGAGCAAACAGAGCAACUAUUCAUCAUUUCCAUCAUGUAUAUUUUUGAUCUUUUUAUUUUUCUAGAGAUUAAACUUAGCAGGAAGACAAAGCACACUUAUCUACACACUCUUUUUAUUUUGUUUUCAUGUUUAUAAAGUGCAGUAAAUUAAAGCAAGAAAAUAUUUAUUUGGUUUUCUAAGCUUUUCCUUUUAAGAUAAAUUAAAUACUAAGACAGAAUAGAAUAAAUAAGAAGAGCAAAUAAAAACUUACUUGAUAAAUUUGGGAGGAACUCCCCCAAGCUGGAUGUUGACGUCGGUCUUACCCGAUGUUCCAGAAUCGCAUCAUGGUUGUGAUGUUGUCGUUCAUUGUUGUUGUAUCUUGUCUCAGCUCUUCUACUGUAGCGGCAUGGUCCUGGUUCCAUUUUUGUUGCUCUUCCAGGAGUCUUCCAUGUUCUGCUUGCGUGUUCUGGAUGUUGAGGAGGGUGUUGUCGGUACGAGUAAAGAAAGCACCGGCCUCUUGAUAGUAGUCAUCCGUGAAGGCGUAGGAGGCGUCGGAGUAUCGUCCUGCAUCAAAUUGGGGUGGAGGUCUGGAUCCUGAAGCUCCAUAUGGAUCAGUGGAGUACCUGCCCGUAUGAAAAGGCGGGUUUGUCCACUGGUGAUCUUGGCUCUCCGGCCAUGUCUCCUCUGUUGGCUCUUGUGGUUGCGCAUGACGAGCCCAUGGGUCUCGAAGGACUCGAGGGUUGUAAUCGCAAUAAUGCAGGUGCGCUGUUUCUUCUGGUCCAGGGUCAGCUCCAUACCAAGUGCGUUCUCGGUGAGUGGUUAUCCUUUCGGAAGCCACUCGCUGUGGAGUUCUCUGGUUCACUGGUGUUGCUGCAAUCUCAAUCAAAAAGUUUUGCACAGAGUAGAGGCCAAGGUUCGGGUUAGGUAACCGAAUCUUGCCUUUAUCAUCAUAUAGCAUAUACAUUAUAUUUCCCUCUUUCUUUAACAUCCGAGCUUGUCUAAAUGUGUCAUAGCCAUGGUAAAUUCUUAAUUCUUCUAUGAAGUCCAACGAUGAGUUUUCUAGUAAGUGAAGAUUAGUGGCUAGACGAGUGAUAAGUGAAGUACAUCCUACUGGUCCCUGCAGACUAGGUAUACUAAGCCAAUGUGAAACUAAUAAUGUAACAGGUGAAGUAGGUACUUUACUAAUAGUAGCAUAUAAAAGUUGUAAAUCUCCUACUCUUACUUUCCUAAUAUCGUCACGAUAGAAAAGAUUGUACCCAAGCCAUUUGUGAAACAUCCUAAGAGUGGGGUGUUCCAUGUCACUGGUUCGGGCUUGACUGUAAAAAUUAUCUCUAGAUAUUUCUCUCCAAAACUGGUGUCUCUCAAAAUUGGGUAAAUCGGAGUCGAUGUUUAGGAUGCAUCUUGAAGAGAAACCAAGAUGGUCGCUCAGCUCUCUCCAAGACAGCAUAAUUUCCUGUUUAAACAUCCAAAAAACAAUUCCCCCCUCAUAGUAUUGUAAAGUACAAAGAAAUUCGAGGGUGAGAAGACGAGAACCCAGCUCAGUUAUAUUCCAAAAAUUUGUCCAACCCAUCAUUUGAAAAAUUAAGUCAAAUUCAGUGUCCAUACCUGUUUCUCGUAGUAGGAUUGGAUCGAUAGUAGGGGUGUGAAUGAAAUCUUUGUUCUUCAGUUGCUGAUAGACUUCCUUCUCUCUUCGGGUCUUCAGUCCUAGGUCUCCUAUCUUGAGAAGGACCUUGACUUGCUGGCCUGAUGAAGAUGAUGGAGCUUGUGUGGGUGUCGGGUCGACGCUCAUCUCUGAUGGUUGUGAGGAGUGUCGGGAUGAACUCCUUGUACCAAUGUUCUUGAGAGCCUUCCCUGCAUUCUUCACCUUCUUAAACAUCCUGCAAACAAAAGUUGGCAAAAACACAACUGGUGGAAAAUGUGAGAUAAAAUGUUAGUGGUCAGCUGUCCGGAGUGUCAGUAGUCCAGGGGUUAAUCGUUCAAGACAAGUUUCUAUUUUGGUAGAGCCUCCCCCUAAACAACUUUUACUUCCGCUUAGACAGCGGGAUCACUACUUGCUAGGUGAUAAACACUCUCUCAAAAGAACUCCAACUUUCUCGUCCACUCUCCUCUUUCUCUCUACUCUCUUCUCUUCACUACAAAAGCUCCUUCUCGGGAGACUGAGAUUUAUGUGGUUUUCUGAAGUGUUUGUGUGAAGAGAAGGAAAGCUGGAGGUGGCCUUUUAUAGGCUGAGCAGGGGACAGGGCGGGCGCCCAAGGUAGGUGGGCGGGCGCCCACCCCUGGUGUCCAUCCUAGGUGUGCUUCCUCCACUUGCUUCCUUGCUUUGAUCUCACGCAAAAUAAUGUUGUGUUGGUGGUGGUUGGACGGUGGAAAGAUGUCAGGUGAGUGGAAAUAUAUUGGUGGAUGAAAUUAUGUGAUGGGAUGUAUGUGAGGUGAAGUGUAUGACAUGUGGGACCCAAAGAGUGUGGGUCAUGCUUCUAGAAGAUUAAUAUGAUUAAAUAUAAUGCAGGAAAAUCUAUGAGAAUCGAAACUUAAUGAAAAUGAUAAUGGAAAAUAUUUUUGUGCCUCCACAAUAAUAAAUAUGGGUUGUUACACACCACAAAUAUUAUUUAUAUGGGGCUUUUUGAUUAUUAUAAUAAUGCUAUGACUAAUGCAAGAAUUAAUUAUGCAAGAAUGAGAAAAUUGAUAAUGCGGGUAAAUACCGAUUUACCUCCCGGUGAGGGUUUGGGAUUUUUAGGUCCCCCAAGCUGGACCUCCAAAUCUUUUAAUCUUCUGAGUUACCUUCCUCCGGAGAUGGUGUCUCCAGUGGUUCUUCAUGAACUUCCUUCACUGUAGAGUCUCUCUGGUCUGGGUUUGAAUGUGAAGUGUUCUUCUUGACCGUUUAUGUUGAACUUGAUUUCUCCCUUCCUGACAUCAAUGUGGGCAUUGACAGUGCUCAGAAAUGGUCUUCCAAGGAUGAUGGACACUUUUGAGUCAGGACUCAUGUCCAGUACUACGAAGUCUACUGGCACCAGGAAAUCUCUGAUCUUGACUGGAAUGUUCUCGGCGAUGCCCAACGGGUGUCGAACCGAUUGAUCCGCUAGUUGUAGACACAUUGAUGUUGGUUCUAAAGUUGCAUGCUCAAGCUUUUUGUAGACAGAUGCUGGCAUCACACUGACACUUGCUCCGAGAUCACAAAGUGCAUUAUUGAAGUGUUGGUUUCCGAUCGAGCAGUCAAUAGUGGGGCAUCCUGGAUCUUCCUUCUUCUUUGGUGGUUUGUUGAGGAUGGCCGCACUACAUUCUUCUGUCAGCUUGAUAACCUCAGUGGUGGGCAGUGGUCUCUUCUUGUUAAGAAUUUCUCUGAUGUACUUUGCAUAUGUAGGUACCUGUAUGGCAUCAAGUAGAGGUAUGUUGACAUAUAAUUUCUGAAUGAUCUCUACAAACUUACCAAACUGCUCAUCCGACUGCAGUCCUCUGUUUCUUCUGGGAAAUGGCAAAUAGUUGGUGUCGUAAAAAUCUUUCCUCAUUUCUCCAGUUCUUGGUGGUUGGAGCAUAUCUUCUGCUUCAACUGGGCUUUCUUCUUCUAUUACUGCUGGUUGCACUGGUGCUGAUGUUCUUUGUUUCUCUUUUGGGUAUGGUGGAUCUCUGGUAGCUUUACCUCCUCUAGUAGUUAUAUUCUUUACCUGCUCAAUGUUAGUAGCAAUAGGCAGUGCAGCAGCUAACUUUAUUAAUUUAAGCUCUACCCUUUUAUUAAGAGUGUUUUGCUCAUCAAAGGCAGUUAGUAGAAAAUCCAUUUUAUUGUGUAUAUCUUUUAGAGAUGAUUCAUUUGUAUCUAGCCUUUGUUUAACUUCAUCAUUAAUUUUGGUUUGUUGAGCAAUUAUCUCUUUUAAUGAAAGUAGCUUGACAGUAUUACCUGAAUUCAUACCUUUGCUAUUGGGUUGACUCGAAGUUGUUUGAUAUUUGUAUGCUGUCUCAAUGGCCCUUUGAUCUUCUGUGAACUUGGCCCUCUGGUCAAUCCAAUGGAGCAAAUUUUCCAUAUUAGUUGAUAAUGCAUUUAUUUCUUCUGGUAUUUCUUCAGUUUGAUGACAAUGUUGAGCUUUAUCUUGGAACCAGCUUUGGUUUUCUGCUAUCUUAUCCAAAAGUAUCUCUGCUUUUCCAGUUGUAAGCUCCAAGAAUAAUCCUUUAGCAGAUGCAUCUAGGCACUCACGAGCCUUCUGGGUUAAUCCAUGGUAGAAGGUCUGCAUAAGUAACCAUGUGGCCAUUCCAUGGUGAGGACAAUCUGAUAUGUAUCCUUGAAAAUGCUCCCAUGCUUCUGAAAUGGCUUCUGUCUUCUGCUGUUGGAAACUGACAAUAUUUCCUCUUAAGGCAGUUGUUUUGCCUAUAGGGAAAAACUUUGAUAGAAAGGCAUCUGACAAGUUCGUCCAGUUGUUGAUGUUAUCUUGAUGAGUGUAGAACCACUUCCUCGCUUUUCCUUCUAAUGAGAAUGGAAAAAGGCGAAGCAGUAUGACGUCUUUGUCAACUCCGUUGAUGUGGAUUGUGCUUCCAAUCUCUAAGAAAUUCUGCAAGUGUGCAUUGGCAUCUUCAUGUGCCUUUCCACUGAAUUGUGUAGCUUGUACCAAAUUGAUGAGGCUUGACUUGAGCUCAAACUCAGGUAUUCCUUCUUCUACUGCAAAUCUUGGACCAGUUGGAAUGUUCUCAAGACUUGGAGCAGAGAAUUCUUGCAAGGUCUUUUGUGCCAUAGCUUGAGCAAUUGGUAACUAGCUUCUUCUUCUCUUGAUUGCUUUGGUUCUGAUGAUGAAGAGUUGAAUGUACCCAAAGUCAAUCCUGUUAUACCCUGUAUAAAAAUAUAAACAUAGAAAAACAACAGGGUGAACCUGCCAAAGCAGCGGUGCCUUGUUAUGAUUUCUCACUUAGUAGUUGUUUUAUGCAAUUAUUUCUCUAUAGUCUAGUCUAAAAUUUUAUAUGAAUAACCUUGAUUGAUUUUCUGGCCUUCCUCAAUAUUACUCCUUUGUUCCCCUUUUACGACUUAUUCCUGAGACUCAUAUAAUUCUUAUAAUUCUAACAUGUCUCCGUAACUCCCCGGCAACGGCGCCAGAAAUGCUUGUUGACACUAGCUAACACCACUUAGAUACUAGGUUGUCAUCCCUAGCAUGGCGCCAGAGUGUACAAAGGUAUUUAUAAAUGUAAAGGCUCUCUAGAAAAUAAUCUAUUCUAUCCGCAAGCGCACAGAUAAAACACCUCAUUGUAGCAUUUCACCAGGAUAAGUAUUCCAGGUAUCGUUAUUUAUAAUUUUUCUUAGGGAUCUGAGGAAGAUGGAAUUAAAUCAAAGGGGGCAAAAUCUAUCAAGGCAUAGACUAGAGAUAAACUUGCAAGAACAUGAUUACUAAUGAGAAACUCGUCACACAGUCACUUACUUAAGCAGGGGGUAAACCAUAAAGAUAAUGAUAAUAAAGUAUAAGUUCAUGGGGUAAAGAGCACAGCGAUUAGAAAAUAGACUACUCCUCAUAUAUGUAGGUGAUGUCGGAUUAGCUAGAGAAUGGAUUCUAAGUCAUCUACUAACUACUAAGUCAUAAUCUACUCUAGUUAUCUACAAGAUCAUAUAUAGCAUAAAAGACUCUUCAUUCAUGUAUAAGGAACAUUGAUGAAGUAAAUCAGAACAUCGCAUGACUUACUCCACAAUACCGGUUCUGCCUGUCCUAUCAACGGAGGGUGGACUAUAUAAGAAUCAACGAAACUGUCACUAUCGCGAACUACCACACGACUCGGCCAAUAGGAUACAUUUGCAGAUAAAUAACAUCUAAGCACCACGCUCACAUGUGAUCUAUCACCUAACUCCCUCGCGACAAGAGCUAAGCGCUUUGCAAACUUAUACAUAAACUCAUUAUCAAUUAGAACUAUAUCAAAUAUAGAACUAGAGCAAACUAAGAACAUAAUAAUUAGAGACAUAAUGCAAUUAGAACAAUAGAAUUAGAGAAAGAUAUGAAUAAUACCAAUCUUUAUUACCGAAGAUCCGAAUCCAGAGUGUAGUGCUCUACUUCUCUAAUUGCUAUCUAAUCAAACCUCUAAACUUGAAGGAUUAGGGAGUAGCUAAUUCUAAUUCUCUGUGGGAGAGAAGCUCUAAACCCUAACUUUGAUGGCUACCUCUGAAUAAUGAUUUCUCCUCCUCUCCUCCAGGGGCCAGGGGGUCUGGUUUUAUAGUCCCCUCAAGUGAACGUGAGCCAUUGGAUCAAACCGACAUAGAUUGUAUGGUUUAGAUUGAUCCUUUAGGUCGGUGGAGCGUAGUCCCGAAGCAGAGUCCUGUUUGGCCUCCAACCCUAUGCGGGCGCCCAAGCGGGGUGGGCGGGCGCCCAGCCCCCGAGCCCGAAUCCCGUCCCGUUCGUUCCCGUGGCUUCUGGAUCCUUCUAGAUGGAGGAAAAUUACGCGGCACGUAAUUGGAUCCUUCUCGUUGUAAACAUGACAUGUGGGCCUUCUCUCCAUAUUUUCUGAUAAACCCCUGCAGAAAUAGAUAAACACCAAAACUUGUGGAAUUCUGUCAGAUAAAACCCUAAUUCUAGAUGUUUGUUUCAUAUUGACCCUUUUUCAUGUUUAUUUGAUUAUUAAUUUUAGUACUUAAGGACCGUCAACAGAAGCUAAGGCGCAACUCUCAAGGUAAGAGUUGUCAUAUUUUUGGUGGAUGGAAGGGUGCAUGUUGUGCGCAACUUCUCAGUGUGAGAGUCGACUUUAUUUGGUGGGUGCAUGAAUCUCAUGUCAUGGGUGCAUGACCAUAAUCUCACUCUAGGAUACCUGGGAUUUGACUCAACUCAAAGCGCCACAAGCCGCAUAUGACUAAAGGUGUACAAACUACUAAGCAAGUCAUAUGGCAUUGGUAGGUAUUUCAUAAUCAUUGAGGAACUCUUUGUUUUGAAUUUUUGAAAAGAAAACUUUGGAUGUCAAGUUUCUCUUAGAACAAAGUCAUAGGAAAAUCUAUUUAUACCAUAUCAUGUCUCGCAACAACUUAGAAAAGGAUCAUGCAUUUGCUACCCACAAGAUUUCAAGUUCUCAGAAUGAGACAUUUUUUAUCCAACGAACUUAAAUCUUAAUGAACACUAAAUUAUAACUUAGAUACUAUAGAAUUAUAGACAGAGCAAUUAUUCAUAAUUUCAACAGAAGAGAAACUAACAUAUCAUAGGGCACAUGAGAGUGGAAUUUUUUUGAAAGAUGAUGAAAACUUGCUAAAAUUUAAAUACUGAAAUUAAGAACUAAAAUUAAGUGUAAGAAUGUAAGAUACAUGUUACCUCUUGUGGGGGUCCUCCCCCAAGCUAGCUCACUGCUGCGGUCCAGGGAAAUGUCCCAUGGAUCGUAGGUAGGCCAUAUGUGCCUCGUGCCGGCGACGGCUUGCAUCCUCAAGGUCGAUGAAGCUCUGUUGAGUCUGCUGAUGCCAUUGGGUAGCAGUCUGGAUGUGGGCUUUGAACAUACCUUGGAUCUGCAUGUUUUGGAGCUCCAGUCCUCCCAUGUGAGUGUUGAGGACGUCCAGUGUGACCUGAGGGCAAACAGGGGGUGGCAUUCCAUCGGAAUCUGAGGAGUGUCCUAGCUCGUGAUGCCUGGAUACCCCUGCCCCAUAUGCCUCUGGCUCGCUUGGGCCUGCGCCUCCGUGCGCCUGCCAGCUCAACCCUCCUGCCUACCAGCUCGAACCUCCAGCCUCGUAGGGGUGAGGAACGUAUCCCAUACCAUAUCCAUACCCAGGGGUAAAUCCGGGUGCAGGUAUAGCAGGGGUCCGUCCCAUCCAUGGCAUAGCUGGUGGUGGAGUGUGCUGUGCUGGCUAUGCGGAUGGUGCUGGCUGUGCUGCCUGUGCUGCCCUUGCUGCUUGUGCUGCCUGCUCUUCUUGUUCCCUCCUACGUGAGUUCGUGUGAGAUACAGACCUCCUACGUCCUCCUUCCCUCUCAAGAGGGUGAAGGUGAGUGAUGGGGAAUUAUACAGAGCGAGAUACGGGUUAGCUAACUGGAUCUCGUUUGUAUAUCCCGGAAAAUAAUAUAAAAUCUUUUUACCUAUUUCGUCGCGUUUAAUCACAUGUGCAUGCGAAAGAUAUGAUUCAUUAAUCAUGAUGCGAGGAGUAGUGAUGUAAAUAAUGGUAUUAGCAGCAUGGGGAUCAACACUUGCAGCAAGGCGAGUAAUAAGAGAUGUGCACAUAUAGCAGUUGAAGUCUUAAUGGAAUGCAACCAAUGAUUAACAAGCUCAACCACAGGUGCAACCUUAAUCUUUUUGAGCGCAGCAUAAAGCAACUUCAAGUCUAUGUCGUGAGUAAGAUGCGUAUCAUCUUUUGAAAAGAACGAACUAGUGAUCCACUUAUGGAGAAGCCUAAGAGUGGUGUGUUGGAUGUUGGCAUUAUGCCCCUGAAACUUUCCAACGACCUGUAGCCCCGAGAUCAAUUGCCAGAAUGCAUGACGUUGGUAACCCCCAAGGGAGAAACCUAAGUCAAUGGAGCAACGUUCGUGGAAACCCAAACGGUUGGAAAGAUCCUUCCAAUAAAUACCAAAAUCUCUUCCAAAGCAACGGAAGGUAAUACCAUAAUCGAUAAUUUGUAGAGUGCCCAAAAUUUGGAUCGUCAAAACACGUGACCCAAGCUCAUGAACGGGGCCAACUCUACUGCAACCAAGAUGCUCGAAAAUAGUAUCAAACUCAACAUCCAUACCUAUUUGGUGGAGAAUGUGGGGUCGAAUGCCGGCGAAUGGAGGAACUCCCGUUCCUUCAUGAGGUUGUAUGCCUGCAUCUCCCGCUCGCUCUCCAAGUCGAUGAAGGCAGUGUCAGCCUCAUCAAUGGCGUGGCCGUGUGGCUCCUCCUCCUCUCCUCCAUGCGUCGGCUGCUCGUUCCUUGUAGGGGUUGGUGGAUCUUCCCCGCGUUGGCGAUGGCUCAUUCUAAGCCCAAAAAUUCUAUUCAUAGUGGACGAGCUAGCAAAAGUGUAUGGUGUUUUUGCUUAGAGUGGGAAGUGUGCAAGAGGUUUUUGACAGAAUUUUCUUGCACUAAGCUUGUGGAGUAGGCUAUGAAGCAAAGUGGAGAAAGAGAGUGAAGAAGGGAAGAGUAAAAAAAUGUGUGUGAGAGGGGUGAGGUGCUCCACCCGGGACCCUCUCUAUUUAUAGAGUUGAUCGCAGGCAGGGGAGCGCCCCCCUCAAUGGCUACUAGCCGUUGCCCAAAGGCUGAGGCCAACAAGCCUUGGGCAUGGUGCGGCCGCACCCUGGUGCGCCCGCACCAGUGUUGGGCCCGCCACUGCCAGGCCUUUUGGCUGCUGGCUCCAACGGUCACUCCAAACGUCUCUUUGGUUACGAUCACACUUGGUUUAAAAUCUUGCUCUAGAUUUUGAUUUUCCACAUAUUUAUUAAAAAUAUUUUUGGUUUUCAAAAAUUAUAUAAAAAUGAGAUUUGGAAAUGCGAAAAUCUAUACUACCAGAAAAUAAUUUUUAUAAGAUUUUCAGAGAAACAUUAUUUUGACUAAAAAUAAAACUAUAGAAAGGGAAACUUUUGGAAACUAAAAAUAAAACUUUCUAUAAAAAGAGAAAUUAAAACAAAAUUUAAUGAAUUUAAAAAGACUGUUGACGGUCCUUAAGUAUCAAAUUUAAUUAUAAAAUAAACAAAGAAAAGGAUCCAAAUGAAAUCAACAUCUAGACUUAGGGUUUUAUUUGACAGAAUUCCACGAGUUUUGGUGUUUGUCUAUUUCUGCAGGGGGUUAUCAGGAAAUAUGGAAGAAAGGCCCACACGUCGGGAUUACAUAGAGAUAUCAACGUGCCGCACAAUUAUCUUACAUCUAGAAGACUCCUGAAGCCACGGGAAGGAAGCGGAGGCCGAACGGGGCAAGGCACUGGGCGCCCGCCCAGUUGACCUGGGCGCCCGCCCCCUCCUGGAGUCCAAAUAGGACUCUCUUUCGGGAAAGAUCUCCACCGACCUAAAGAAUCAAGGAUAACCGUUCAAUCAAUGUCGGUUUGAUCCAACGGCCCAUAUUCACUUGAAGGGACAAUAAAACCAGACACCCUGGCCCCUAGAGGAGAGAGCCUCUCAACCCUAAUUCAUUAUUCCUCAAGGGAGAAGAAGCCUCUGAUCCAGAUUAGAGCCACCACAUCAAUUAGAUAUCUAGAUUAGCAUAGCUACAUAGGAUUAGAACUAGAAGGAGUCAAUCUUCGAUUGGUUUCCGGAUCUGUCAAGAGGAUUCUUGGUAAUUCUCUAAUUGUGCUAAAAAUUGUUCUCUAAUCAUUUUUGUUCUUCAAUAUUAUGAAUAUGACUUUGUUCUACUUCAAUAUAUUGCUGAUGACUUUGCUCUACUUGUUUAUAUUCAAGAUUAUAUUGUUCUUAGUUUAUCAUAGUUAUAUACUUGGCUUUGUUAGAUUGGAUUUAUAUACAUGUUUAGGAUCGUAUAGCAUUUAUCCAUCGGAUCCAUGUGUAAAUGAUAGAUAUUGUGUAGGCGUGGUGCUUAUACUGUAUUUAUCUGCGAUUGUACCCAAUAUGCCAGAUCGUGGGGUAGUUCGUGAUAGUGACAGCUUCAUUGAUUCUUAUAUAGUCCCCCUCUCGUGUAUUGGGCUGGCAGAGCAACAUUAUUACAGGGGAGUGAUUGCUAUGUUUCUCAUUUACCUUGCUAAUAUCACUAUGCAUGGGCAUAGUCUUGUCUCGCAAUGAUUGCUAAGUAUGCUUGCACUAACUAUGAUAAUGCUAGACUAUAUAGUUGAGAAUAACUUAGGAAAUAUUCUUGUAGUUCGUUCUAAUACCAUGCUAAUGACUUUCUAGAGUAUCUAAUUGAGGUGCUUAUCAUAUUUAUUAUGUGGCUAAGUUAUGCUGAUCAGAUUAAUUAUCUUUGUCACUAUUCAUUAUUUCAUAUAUCUUUUAUGUGACACUUAUCCCUGUUGACACCAUUUUUGGGCACGUGUCCAUGAUCGGUAGAAUGCAGGUCGGCAAGACAAGAUGGCAGUGCUUGGUCUACAGGAUGAGUUGCCAAUGAGGAUGGUUGCCGAUGGAGGGACGGUUGAAUAUGACUAAGUCCAUAGGUGAUGAUGUGUUUGUGCCAAUGGCAACAACAGGGGAGUCUGCCGAUGAUGCGGAUGAAGGACCUAAAGGUUGCCGAUCGGCUUGUGGAGGUGUUCUAGUUUGUCACGGGAGGAUAGUUUUAUGUUUUCCUUAGUUAUUUAGAUUGUUUUGUAUACGGAUUCUGUUUAAUUUGGAAUUCGAAUUCUAGUCAUGUCUGGUUGUAGCUCUGCGAGCAAGGUAUAAAUGUAGACCCUGAGGCUUUGUAAACAGACAUCUAUCAAUCAAUCAAACACAAGUUUUUACUCAUAUUCCAGCAUCUAAUUUUUCGACGACUUCGUCGUACCUUUUUCCUUUUCAUUACGAGUUCUUAUGAAUUCGUCGACUCAAGCUCGGCGUAUUCUCGAGUUCCGCGUGAAUACCUCUUGGCCGUGGCAUCCGGGCGCAUCGCUGUUGUCGGGACCAAAGUAUUCGAGUUAUCACCUUUGCCGAUAGUAAAGUCAAAUCGGCUGGCACGCCUUAACUUUUGAAUUCGGGUAUUAGCCUUUUGUGUUUGCAGAUCAGCUUUUGCAUCAACACAUCUUUUGGCACGCCCGGUGGGACUAGAUUCAAGAUCAAGAUCAACAUGUCGACUUCUGACUUUGAUCAGGAGAACGUCAUCCCCGUGACGGAAGCCAAUCUCAAGGAUGAGCAGAAGCAAGCUAUCGCUAAAGCCAUGGAGGAUUACAAGCAGCAAUGCCUAAGGUCCUUCAGCAUGAACAGGAGCGGCGAAGUGAUCCAGAAGGAUGCGCUGCUGAUGCCUCGGCAGGUUACUUUUGAAGCCAAUCCUGGUAAACUUCAAGAGAUGGUCGAUAGUGCUAUCAAUCGUGCCUUGAUCAACCAACCUGGUGUGCUGUCCAAUACGGUUUUCAAUGCCGUGGCUAGAACUUUCAAGGAAGGACAAUUGCCACCAGAUUAUGUGGGCCCCUCUCAUCAUCAGCCAGGAUCACCGGUGGUCAUAGCUCCAUCGGCUGCUACAGCCGCUGCGGGCACAGAAAUUCCUGUUCCUCCAAGCACGUUAGGAGUCGCCAAUGCACAAUCUACACCGAUGACAACUAAUCCACCGACUUCAAAUGAACAAAUCAAGCUCACCACAGGUCUAUUGGCAUCGGCAAUGUCAGGACCAGUUCCUCCUCCUAACUGGUGGGGUUUCGGUAUGCCACAGGUCUAUUGGCAUCGGCAAUGUCAAGACCUGGCACGUCUCAGGCAGCUGAGAUGAGAGGCAAGGCUCCUAUGGCAUCGGCACCUCCAAGUAUGCCGAUGAACCAGAGUUCCCAGUAUACUAUGACUACUACUGCAACACCUUAUACUAGGAAUUCUCAAUCUUCGACGUUCCAGAUGCCUAACGCAUCGGCAGAGUCAAUGCUGAUGCAACAGAGAUUUAUGACUCAGCCAGGGUAUGUCAAUUCAAUGAUGAUGCCCAAUUACCAGUCAUCGGCAGGACCUAUGCCGAUGAAUGCUAAUAGUGGAUGGCUUGCGCAGCAAGUCUUUCCGCAAAUGCCCCAACCGAAUCAUCAGGCUAUAGGGUUCCAGCAAAGCCAGAUCUAUCCCGGGUUCCAAAAUCAGGGAAUGCCCAACCAGCCAAUGAAUCUUGGGAGCAGGUCGGAGGACAGCAGAUUGGCGGCCAACAGCUUGGUGGUCCGCGGAUUGGGGGCCAGAUAAUUAAUCCAAUGUUCCAUGCAGAUUGUGCACCGCACAGACACGUGGAAGCUUACCAGCAGGUGCCGGAUCCGCAACUGCCUCAUCGGCAAGAUGCCGAUGCUUAUCGGGCCGAUAAGAUUGCUGAAGUGAUGAGAGACCAAUUUGGGAUAAAACGCAAAGUCAACACUUACUCUUAUCGGACACCGUAUCCUCCCGCAUAUGAUUUGAUCCUACUUCCAAAUCGGUACAAGGUACCGGAUUUUACUAAGUUUUCUGGGCAGGAUGACACGUCAACCAUGGAGCACGUCAACAGGUUCAUCAUCUAGUGCGGGGAAGCUGCUAACAGGGACGAGUUAAGGGUUCGCUUAUUUUCGUCAUCAUUAUCUGGAUCAGCUUUUACUUGGUUUAUAUCAUUACCUACCAACUCAGUGGUUACUUGGGCCGAUCUGGAGAAGCAAUUCCACAAAUACUUCUUUUCUGGUGUCCAUGAGAAGAAGAGUACCGAUUUGGUCAAAUUGAGGCAACGCAAUGAUGAAUUGGUUGAGAGUUUUGUGCAGAGGAUACGGGAGGUCAAGAACAAAUGCUAUAGCCUGGUUCUAGAUGAUCGGCAGCUAGCCGAAGUCAUUUGGUGCAGAGAAUUUCUGAUCAAGAUAUCAAGCCCUUUGAGCCCAAGAGAGCACGGAGUAAAAAGGUAUCAUUUGUGGAUGAAGCGGCAAGUUCGGACUCUGAUGAAGAACCAGUCAUCGGCUUGGCAGAAUGGGUGAAAAAUAAAAAGCUGAUGUCUUGUCCUUUUGGACAUAAAGAACCGGAGAAGUUCGCAUUUGACAUCACUAAGGCCGAUAGGAUAUUUGACUUUCUACUUUAAGAAGGUCAGAUCAAGCUGUCACCUAAUCAUGUGAUCCCAUCGGCUGAAGAAUUAAAAAGGAUGAAGUAUUGCAAAUGGCACAAUGCAACUUCUCACGACACUAAGGAGUGUAAAGUUUUUAGACAACAGCUGCAAUCGGCUAUAGAAUCUGGGAGGAUCAAAUUUGACAGCUCCAAAACUCAGAAGCCGAUGAAGAUUGAUCAACAUCCUUUCCCAACAAACAUGCUGGAUGCUAAGGGAAAGGCCAAAGUCUUGACGUCGGUGUUGAUGGUUCUUAAGUAUCAAAUUUAAUUGUCAAAUAAAUAAAUAAAAGGAUCCAAAUGAAAUCAAGAUCUAGACUUAGGGUUUUAUCUGACAGAAUUCCACGAGUUUUGGUGUUUGUCUAUUUCUGCAGGGGGUUAUCAGGAAAUACGGAAGAAAGGCCCACACGUCGGGAUUACAUAGAGAUAUUAACGUGCCGCGCAAUUAUCUUACAUCUAGAAGACUCCAGAAGCCACGGGACCGAAGCGGAGGCGAAACGAGGCGUGACCCUGGGUGCCCGCCCAGGUGAUCAGGGCGCCCGCCGACCUGCCGAGGCCAAUCAGGACUCUGCUUUGCGGGAGAUCUCCACCGACCUAAAGGAUGAAUCUAAACCAUACAAUCUAUGUCGGUUUGAUCCAACGGCCCAUAUUCACUUGAAGGGACUAUAAAACCAGACCCCCUGGCCCCUGGAGGAGAGAGCCUCUCCACCCUAAUUCAUUGUUCUUCAAGGGAGAAGAAGCCUCUGAUCAAGAUUAGAGCCACCACAUCAAUUAGAUAUCUAGAUUAGCAUAGCGAGUCAAUCUUCGAUUGGUUUCCGGAUCUGUCAAGGGGAUUCUUGGUAAUUCUCUAAUUGUGCUUCGAAUUGCUUUCUAAUUAUCUUUGUUCUUCAAUACUAUGAAUAUGACUUUGUUCUACUUCAAUAUAUUGCUUAUGACUUUGCUCUACUUGCUUAUAUUCAAUAUUAUAUUGUUCUUAGUUUAUCAUAGUUAUGUACUUGGCUUAGUUAGAUUGGAUCUAUAUACAUGCUUAGGAUCGUAUAGCGUUUAUCCAUCGGAUCCAUGGGUAAAUGAUAGAUAUUGUGUAGGCGUGGUGCUUAUACCGUAUUUAUCUGCGAUUGUACCCAAUAUGCCAGAUCGUGGGGUAGUUCGUGAUAGUGACAGCUUCAUUGAUUCUUAUAUAGUCCCCCUCUCGUGUAUUGGGCUGGCAGAGCAACAUUAUUACAGGGGAGUGAUUGCUAUGUUUCUCAUAUUCCUUGCUAAUAUCACUAUGCAUGGGUGUAGUCUUGUCUCACAAUGAUUGCUANNNNNNNNNNNNNNNNNNNNNNNNNNNNNNNNNNNNNNNNNNNNNNNNNNNNNNNNNNNNNNNNNNNNNNNNNNNNNNNNNNNNNNNNNNNNNNNNNNNNNNNNNNNNNNNNNNNNNNNNNNNNNNNNNNNNNNNNNNNNNNNNNNNNNNNNNNNNNNNNNNNNNNNNNNNNNNNNNNNNNNNNNNNNNNNNNNNNNNNNNNNNNNNNNNNNNNNNNNNNNNNNNNNNNNNNNNNNNNNNNNNNNNNNNNNNNNNNNNNNNNNNNNNNNNNNNNNNNNNNNNNNNNNNNNNNNNNNNNNNNNNNNNNNNNNNNNNNNNNNNNNNNNNNNNNNNNNNNNNNNNNNNNNNNNNNNNNNNNNNNNNNNNNNNNNNNNNNNNNNNNNNNNNNNNNNNNNNNNNNNNNNNNNNNNNNNNNNNNNNNNNNNNNNNNNNNNNNNNNNNNNNNNNNNNNNNNNNNNNNNNNNNNNNNNNNNNNNNNNNNNNNNNNNNNNNNNNNNNNNNNNNNNNNNNNNNNNNNNNNNNNNNNNNNNNNNNNNNNNNNNNNNNNNNNNNNNNNNNNNNNNNNNNNNNNNNNNNNNNNNNNNNNNNNNGGGGAGCUACUGAGCUGGUUGAGCUUACUAUCUCUCAUACAGUUUACUGUUGGGUAUUCUUAACAUCAUUACCAAAAGUAGACUAAGUUCUCUAAAUCUAGUAACGGUGCCAAAAAUGUCAAACCUAUCCCUCACACCACUUAAGCCAAGUUGUCAUCCCCAGCAUGAUAUAAGAGACGCGGUAUUGAAAUAUGCAAUUGCUCUUCUAAAUAAAUAAUGAAUGGGAUCUGCAAGCGCACAGAUUAAUACCGAUGCAGCAUUUUAACCGGGAAGUAUUCCAGGUAUCGUUAUUUAUAUUUUUACCACUGGGAAGGGAUUAGCAAUCAUCAAUAUUGAUUACAGAAUAGAAUAUGAGAUUGAGCAUCUAUCAUUGCAUGUAUAAUUGAGAACAUUAUAUCUAACUCUUCAUACAGGGAUAAGUGUCACAUAAAAGAUAUAUGAAAUAAUAAUAGUGACAAGGAUAACUAAUCUGAUCUAGCCACAUAAUAAAUAUGAUAAGCACCUCAAUUAGAUACUCUAGAAAGUCAUUAGCAUGGUAUUAGAACGAACUACAAGAAUAUUCCCUAAGUUAUUCUCAACUAUAUAGUCUAGCAUUAUCAUAAUUAGUGCAAGCAUACUUAGCAAUCAUUGCGAGACAAGACUACGCCCAUGCAUAGUGAUAUUAGCAAGGAAUAUGAGAAACAUAGCAAUCACUCCCCUGUAAUAAUGUUGCUCUACCAGCCCAAUACACGAGAGGGGGACUAUAUAAGAAUGAAUGAAGCUGUCACUAUCACGAACCACCCGACGAUCUAGCAUAUUGGGUACAAUCGCAGAUAAAUACGGUAUAAGCACCACGCCUACACAAUACCUAUCAUUUACCCAUGGAUCCGAUGGAUAAACGCUAUACGAUCCUAAGAAUGUAUAUACAUCCAAUCUAACUAAGCCAAGUACAUAACUAUGAUAAACUAAGAACAAUAUAAUCUUGAAUAUAAGCAAGUACAGCAAAGUCAUAAGCAAUAUAUUGAAGUAGAACAAAGUCAUAUUCAUAAUAUUGAAGAACAAAGAUAAUUAGAAAGUAAUUAGAAGCACAAUUAGAGAAUUACCAAGAAUCCUCCUGACAGAUCCGGAAACCAAUCGAAGAUUGACUCCUUCUAGUUCUAAUCCUAUGUAGCUAUGCUAAUCUAGAUAUCUAAUUAAUGUGGUGGCUCUAAUCUUGAUCAGAGGCUUCUUCUCCCUUGAGGAAUAAUGAAUUAGGGUUGAGAGGCUCCCUCCUCUAGGGGCCAGGGGGUCUGGUUUUAUAGUCUCUUCAAGUGAAUAUGGGCCGUUGGAUCAAACCGACAUAGGUUGUUUGGUUUAGAUUCAUCCUUUAGGUUGGUGGAUAUCUCCCACGAAGCAGAGUCCUGAUUGGACUCAGGGAGGGGGCGGGCGCCCUGCCUCUGGCCCCGUUUCGCCUCCGCUUUGGUCUCGUGGCUUCUGGAGUCUUCUAGAUGUAAGAUAAUUGCGCGGCACAUUAAUAUCUCUAUGUAAUCCCGACGUGUGGGCCUUUCUUCCUUAUUUCCUGAUAACCCCCUGCAGAAAUAGACAAACACCAAAACUCGUGGAAUUCUGUCAGAUAAAACCCUAAGUCUAGAUGUUGAUUUCAUUUGGAUCCUUUUCUUUAUUUAUUUGAUAAUUAAAUUUGAUACUUAAGGACCGUCAACAAACUCCCCCAAGCUUACCUCUUGCUCGUCCCUGAGCAAGGAUAGACUCAGCUAUGGAUCAUAAGUUGUUGCAAUAUUUAAAAAAUUGACGGUACACAUGAUUUUUAAAUAAGAUCUCAUCUCUGAGUUAGAGUAAACUGUCAAGACUUAAAACUUACUUACUUUACCUUCCACCAUGGGAGUUGUAACCGUCACUUCUGUCUUAAGAGGUUAAAAGAUAGAACAGUCUAGCCAAGUGCCAUGUCUCUUAUUCUUGAUCAGCUAUAGCUCUGGGGUUUUUUUGCAGAUUUUCAAAUAAAACUCAGAAUUCCUUGUAUGACUCUCUCAGAUCUCUCUUUUGUGGUAUUUCUGGAUCCUUACCAAGGCAGUGAUGGUAUAUGUCUUCUCUCAAGAUAUGUAGUAUUUGUGGUAUAAAGCACAGUGACAUUAUCUUAUCUUCUCACCCUACUCAAAUAAGGCUUUAAUAUCUGGAGCUCAUAGGUGGGAGAUAAAAUAUACAUACUUACAAGACAUUUAUUGCAUAGUCAAACUAUGGAUCCAAAGAAACAAAUCAUUAAGUUUAAUCAAGAUGUGCAUGUGUGGCGAAUGAAUGGUGUAUGGUGAUGAUGGUGAUAACAAUGGUGAAAACAAUAGUGGUGGAAGUCUAAUUCUACUUUGCUCUUUGAGGGGAUACAUACCUUCCUUGCUUUUUUGAAACUUUAUGAGGAGAAUGAGAUGCUCUUCUUUUUCUUUUCUCUUAGGUGGGUAUCUUGUACCCCUAAUUCUACUGUCGGACACUUGUCCAUUUCUACCUCUCGUCUCUCUUUUUCUUUUCUUUCGAGGUUCCGAGCACUUGCUCUUUUUUAUUUCCUCGUAUUUAUUUUAUUUAUUAUUUUUUUAGAGCACUCAUCUCUUGAGAUAAUAUAGCAAGUGGUAGUAACAAGAUAACUUGAGCAUUUAUUUCACAAGGGAAAAACAGAAAUAUGUUUUGGUUAUUCUCUCCCGGAUUAGGAGUACAAUAUUUUUGGGUGAUUCUGGAGAUGGAAUGGGUGGAUAUAUGUGGAUGGUACUUCCGGAGUAGAAGUAGCAUAUAUGAGUGAACGUGCAAGUGAAAUCUUGAUUUAACUACAUGACAAGCUCCUAAGGGUCUACACAGCUUGACCACACUCAAUGCUCAUAAGCAGUAAAUAGUAAAUGUGUGGCUCAAAGUCUAGCAAGCAUAUAUAUAUGGCUUUGGUAGGAAUUUAAACUCUCAUCGUACAGGAACUCAUCAUGCAACAUUUUAAAAGAUUUUCAAAGAUAAAAUUCUCUAGAAUUCUAGCAUCUCUAGGAACAAAUAAACAGCAGCUCAACCUUCCCAUAUCGUAUCCGUUAACAACUUAGACUUCAGAUCAAGUUUUCAUCCCACAAGUUUAGGUCUAGAGCAAGCUUUAAAUUAUAACAGUUAUGUCUAAACUUGAGAGAGAACUUCAAAUGUGCAAAUUAGGCAGAGCAACUAUUCAUCAUAUCCAUGCUUAAGUUUUAUUAUUAAGAUACAGAUUAGCAUAGCCACUUUAUUUAUUUAUUAAACACACUAAGCAAAAGACAUAUAUAUAAGCAUAAAAUCUUUAUUUGGUUUUUCCAUAGUUAUGUAUAUUUAUAUUCUAAAAUAAUGUAAGUAUAAAGAUAGAUAGAUAGAAAUACUUAUCGACAUAAAUGGGGGUGCUCUCCCCCAAGCUGAAUUUUGACGUAAUUUCUCUUGAUGUAGCUAGCAGGUGGCAGAAGUGUAUUUGAAAGUCAGCAGCAUUCUGACAGCGAUUAGAAUAUCCUCUGUCUGCUAGUCUUCUUGAAUUCUGUGGAGCUCAAAUAGACAAUAAAGCUUGUGGAACAGAUUAAGUGUUAGCAUAAAUAUCUAGCCUUUAUCAUGUUGAGACUCCUUAAUAAUUAUUACUCGCUGUUUUUAUAUUUUCAUUUUAUAAAGCAGAAAAGAAAUUUUUAUUUUAUUUUUAUGCCACCACAGUGAAUGUACUUAUGGGUUUUAUGCCACUCGUCUACUCACAUGGGGCUUACUGUUUUUCAUAUUUUUAUUCUCUUUUUAAGAUAGUAUGAACAUAAUUAAAUAAGUAAACUAUUUGAAAUAAUUAAAAGGGAAAGGAUAACUACCAAGUUUACCUCUUGGCAAGGCGUUCGGUGUUUUUAAGUCCUCCGAACGGGACUCCGUUUUCUCAAUUGUCCUGAGGUUCAUUGGGUGGCGUAGUCGGUACUUCCGGCAGCGCCUCCUCUUCUUGUAUAGUUAUCUUCAUUUUCCACACCUGACUUGGUGCUUCAGUCUCCUCUAGAUAAUUCUAUUUAAACUCUAUGUCUUCUGACCUUACAACUUCUCCUUCAUAGUCUGCCCAUCCGUCCUUGAUGAUUUGCCUCCUCUGGUUGCGGUUGCGUCAUUUCCUUACCUGCUUAGAUUCUUCAACGAUAUAGUUAGGGUCAGUAAAAUAACGGCGUACCUUCUCUGAGGGGAAGUGCAUAUGGACUUCUCCGGUUCCAAUGUAGAUAAUUGCUUUAGCGGUGCUGAGGAACAGUCUUCCAAGGAUGAUGGGUGGAUCAUACUCGUCUUCUCCCAUGUCAAUAACUUGAAAGUCUGUGUAGACAAAAUGAUCGUCUAUUUUGACUGGGACAUCAGUUACUAUUCCUUUAAAUUCUCGAAAUGUCUGAUCUGCCAUCUGGAGUUGAAUGUAUGUUGGCCUUAGGGGCAUGGUUCCUAACAAGAGCCGAUAGGUCACUGCGUCCAUUAUGUUGACACCCGAUCCGGUGUCACAAGUUGCCUUGUAGAAGUUGUAUCCAUUUAUGGAGCAGUAGAUGCUUGGCAUUCCUGGGUCGUCCUUCUUAGUCAAAAGCGGUGACUUAAGUUGGUGAUCUUGGCCUCCAUGAACUACAGUGACCAUCUUAGCUGACUCGGUCCACACUUGCAAGUUCAUGUUCCUCCUGUUGGUCCUCUUCCUUGAUUCACGUCUGGAUUGAUCUGGAAUUUGUGUAGUCUUGUUCUUGAAGAAAAAUGUCUCCUUCUUCCCUUUGACGUAGAAACUGAUCUUGGCAGCACUGGCGUAGAUGAUAGCUCCCGUGGUGUUCAUUAAUGGCCUCCCAAAGAUGAUAGGUGCCCUCUCAUCAUUUCCAGUCUCUACUACUACGAAGUCGGCUACAACAUAUAAGGUACCAACUCGGACACAAAGGUUCUUCAAUAUUCCUUUUGGAAAAGUUAUCGUCUGAUCUGCAAACUGCAAACACAUGGUUGUUUCUAAUAAAGGAUAUGUAAAUAAUUUUUCAUAGAGUACCCUGGGUAUAAUGUUGACACUGGAGCCAAAGUCACAGAGUGCUUCUGGGACGUCCACCAUGCCGAUGGAGAUCGGGAUGACGGGGCAUCCUGGAUCGCCUCUCUUGACCGGCAGAAGGUCAGUAGAGAAUUCGGUGACGGGGUUACUCCAAUUAUCACCUGCAUCAAACAUGUCUACAAGAUUUGUAGAUUCUAAUCCUUCCGGUUGUGAUGGUAUACCGGGGUUAGUAGUAGGAAUAGCAGCAGCUAUUUGAUUUAACUAAGAUUCAAUCAUUUUAUUAAAGCUAAUUUGAUUCUUGAUGGCAGUAGAGAAAUUAUCCAUUCUAUUAUUUGUAUUUUCUAGCAUUUUAUCAUUAGAUGCCAAUUUCUUAGAUAGGUUAUCCAUUAGCUUUCCUUGAUUAGACACUAACUCUCUCAGAGGUGGAAAAUUAUUAUUAUUGUUGUAAGAAUUGUUACCUUGAUAAUUACCUGAGUAGUUGGGCCUCUGUUGAUUCCAACCUUGAUUUUGUUGAGGACGGUUGUAGUAGUAGUUGUUGUUGUUGAUGUAGUUCACAUCCUCAAGUAUCUCAGGGCAGUGGUUGCCUGAGUGUCCAGUGUCUCCACACUUCUCACAAGUCAUGUGAGAGUCGUAGAUGUGCAUAACUUCCUUCUUAUCUCUAGCUCUAUCAUCGAGCUUAUUCAUGAGCAGGUCUAGCUUUGCAGACAGCAUGUCUACCUCCUUCAGCUGAUGCAUACCUCCACCUCUCUUGCGUGUCUAGGUCCUCUCUUCAUUCCAGCUUUGAUUGGACGCCAUCUUCUCCACAAGAGCUGUGGUUUGUGGUAUAGUAAGUGAUAAGAAUGCUCCUCCAGCUGCAGCAUCCAUGGUUUCUCGGGCACUAUUGCCGAGCCCAUGAUAAAACGUCUGCAUCAAUAGCCAACUCUCCAUUCCAUGAUGGGGACAUUCUUGGAUGUAGUCUUGAAAGCGCUCCCAUGUUUCUGGAACAGAUUCAUCAUUUUGUUGCUGAAAACUUGUAAUCUUCCCACGGAGAGCAUUGGUCUUGCCCAUGGGAAAGAACUUAGCCAGGAAGUUUGCUGAGCAGAGUGCCCACGUAGUAUUCUUCUCCUUUGUAGCGUAGAACCACUACUUCGCUCUCCCUAACAGUGAGAAUGGGAAGAGGCGAAGUAGUAUAGCAUCUUUGGAAACUCCUGACAUGGUAAAUGUGUUGCAAAUCUCUAGGAAGUGUUGUAAAUGAGCACUAGCAUCUUCGUGUGCCUUCCCACAGAACUGGUUGGAUUGCACCAUGUUGAUAAGUCCAGGCUUGAGCUCAAAGUUGCCGUCGAUCUCUGCAGCAGGUCCAGUGCGGAUGUUGUCCGUAGUGGGAGCUGAGAACUCGUGGAUUGAUUUGUUCGCCAUGGCUUCGAACUCUGAAGACAAGUUCCGGUGAUCUUCUUGAUUGGAUGAAGCUUCUUGCUGAAGUGUUGAUGAUCUCUUCUUGAGCUUGGCUCUCGUCUUCUUGAAUAAUGCUUCGGGAUUGUCAACAAAAUUUCCUAGAAAAUGUCUUCUAUUCAUACAUUCCCCUGCAUAAGAUAAAAUAGAAAAAUAUCAGGGUAAAACUGUAUGAGAGAAUAGCUAAGCUCAAUCAUAUUAGUGAUGCGAAUGUUAACUCAAAAUCUUUUAUUCCAUUCCUGAUUAGUAAUCAACCUUCCCCGGCAACGGCGCCAAAAAUUCUUGUUGGGUAUUCUUAACAUCAUUACCAAAAGUAGACUAAGUUCUCUAAAUCUAGUAACGGUGCCAAAAAUGUCAAACCUAUCCCUCACACCACCUAAGCCAAGUUGUCAUCCCCAGCAUGAUAUAAGAGACGCGGUACUGAAAUAUGCAAUUGCUCUUCUAAAUAAAUAAUGAAUGGGAUCUGCUAGCGCACAGAUUAAUACCGAUGCAGCAUUUUAACCGGGAAGUAUUCCAGGUAUCGUUAUUUAUAUUUUUACCACUGGGAAGGGAUUAGCAAUCAUCAAUAUUGAUUACAGAAUAGAAUAUGAGAUUGAGCAUCUAUCAUUGCAUGUAUAAUUGAGAACAUUAUAUCUAACUCUUCAUACAGGGAUAAGUGUCACAUAAAAGAUAUAUGAAAUAAUAAUAGUGACAAGGAUAACUAAUAUGAUCUAGCCACAUAAUAAAUAUGAUAAGCACCUCAAUUAGAUACUCUAGAAAGUCAUUAGCAUGGUAUUAGAACGAACUACAAGAAUAUUCCCUACGUUAUUCUCAACUAUGUAGUCUAGCAUUAUCAUAAUUAGUGCAAGCAUACUUAGCAAUCAUUGCGAGACAAGACUACGCGCAUGCAUAGUGAUAUUAGCAAGGAAUAUGAGAAACAUAGCAAUCCCUCCCCUGUAAUAAUGUUGCUCUGCCAGCCCAAUACACGAGAGGGGGACUAUAUAAGAAUCAAUGAAGCUGUCACUAUCACGAACCACCCCACGAUCUGGCAUAUUGGGUACAAUCGCAGAUAAAUACGGUAUAAGCACCAUGCCUACACAAUAUCUAUCAUUUACCCAUGGAUCCGAUGGAUAAACGCUAUACGAUCCUAAGCAUGUAUAUAGAUCCAAUCUAACUAAGCCAAGUACAUAACUAUGAUAAACUAAGAACAAUAUAAUCUUGAAUAUAAGCAAGUAGAGCAAAGUCAUAAGCAAUAUAUUGAAGUAGAACAAAGUCAUAUUCAUAAUAUUGAAGAACAAAGAUAAUUAGGAAGUAAUUAGAUGCACAAUUAGAGAAUUACCAAGAAUCCUCCUGACAGAUCCGGAAACCAAUCGAAGAUUGACUCCUUCUAGUUCUAAUCCUAUGUAGCUAUGCUAAGCUAGAUAUCUAAUUGAUGUGGUGGCUCUAAUCUUGAUCAGAGGCUUCUUCUCCCUUGAGGAACAAUGAAUUAGGGUUGAGAGGCUCCCUCCUCUAGGGGCCAGGGGGUCUGGUUUUAUAGUCCCUUCAAGUGAAUAUGGGCCGUUGGAUCAAACCGACAUAGAUUGUAUGGUUUAGAUUCAUCCUUUAGGUCGGUGGAGAUCUCCCACGAAGCAGAGUCCUGAUUGGACUCAGGGAGGGGGCGGGCGCCUAGGGCAGGAGGGCGAGCGCCCUGCCUCUGGCCCCGUUUCGCCUCCGCUUCGGUCUCGUGGCUUCUGGAGUCUUCUAGAUGUAAGAUAAUUGCGCGGCACGUUAAUAUCUCUAUGUAAUCCCGACGUGUGGGCCUUUCUUCCUUAUUUCCUGAUAACCCCCUGCAGAAAUAGACAAACACCAAAACUCGUGGAAUUCUGUCAGAUAAAACCCUAAGUCGAGAUGUUGGUUUCAUUUGGAUCCUUUUCUUUAUUUAUUUUUAAUUAAAUUUGAUACUUAAGGACCGUCAACAUUUACCCCGAUAUUUUUCUAUUUUAUCUUAUGCAGGGGAAUGUAUGAAUAAAAGACAUCUUCCUGGAAAUUUUGUUGACUAUCUCGAAGCAUUAUUCAAGAAGACGAGAGCCAAGCUCAAGAAGAGAUCAUCAACACUUCAGCAAGAAGCUUCAUCCAAUCAAGAAGAUCACCGGAACUUGUCUUCAGAGUUCGAGGCCAUGGCGAACAAAUCAAUCCGCGAGUUCUCAGCUCCCACUACGGACAACAUCCGCACUGGACCUGCUGCAGAGAUCGACGGCAACUUUGAGCUCAAGCCUGGACUUAUCAACAUGGUGCAAUCCAACCAGUUCUGUGGGAAGGCACACAAAGAUGCUAAUGCUCAUCUACAACACUUCCUGGAGAUUUGCAACACAUUCACCAUAUUAGGAGUUUCCAAAGAUGCUAUACUACUUCGCCUCUUCCCAUUCUCACUGUUAGGAAGAGCGAAGCAGUGGUUCUACGCUACAAAGGAGAAGAAUACUACGUGCGCACUCUGCUCAACAAACUUCCUGGCUAGGAUCUUUCGCAUGGGCAAGACCAAUGCUCUCCGUGGGAAGAUUACAAGUCUUCAGCAACAAAAUGAUGAAUCUGUUCCAGAAGCAUGGGAGCGCUUUGAAGACUACAUCCUAGAAUGUCCCCAUCAUGGAAUGGAGAGUUAGCUAUUGAUGCAGACAUUUUAUCAUGGACUCGGCAACAGUGCCCGAGAGACCAUGGAUGCUGCAGCUGGGGGAGCAUUCCUAUCACUUACUAUAUCGCAAGCCACAGCUCUUGUGGAGAAGAUGGUGUCCAACCAAAGCUGGAAUGAAGAGAGGACCCAGACACGCAAGAGAGGUGGAGGUAUGCAUCAGCUCAAGGAGGUAGACAUGCUGUCUGCAAAGCUAGACCUGCUCAUGAAGAAGCUCGACGAUAGAGCUGGAGAUAAGAAAGAAGUGAUGCACAUCUACGACUCCCACAUGACUUGUGAGGAGUGUGGAGACACUGGACACUCAGGCAACCACUGCCCUAAGAUGCUUGAGGAUGUGAACUACAUCAACAACAACAACAAAAACUACUACAACCGUCCUCAACAAAAUCAAGGUUGGAAUCAACAGAGGCCUAACUAUUUAGGUAAUUAUCAAGGUAACAAUUCUUACAACAAUAAUAAUAAUUUUCCACCUCUGAGAGAGUUAGUGUCUAAUCAAGGAAGGCUAAUGGAUAACCUAUCUAAGAAAUUGGCAUCUAAUGAUAAAAUGCUAGAAAAUAUAAAUAAUAGAAUGGAUAAUUUCUCUACUGCCAUCAAGAAUCAAAUUAGCUUUAAUAAAAUGAUUGAAUCUCAGUUAAAUCAAAUAGCUGCUGCUGUUCCUGCUACUAACCCCGGUAUACCAUCACAACCGGAAGGAUUAGAAUCUACAAAUCUUGUAGACAUGUUUGAUGCAGGUAAUAACUGGAGUAACCCCGUCACUGAAUUCACUACUGACCUUCUGCCGAUCAAGAGAGGCGAUCCAGGACGCCCCGUCAUCCCGAUCUCCAUCGGCAUGGUGGACGUUCCAGAAGCACUCUGCGACUUUGGCUCCAGCGUCAACAUUAUACCCAGGGUACUCUAUGAAAAAUUCUUUACAUAUCCUUUAUUAGAGACAACCAUGUGUUUGCAGUUUGCAGAUCAGACGAUAACUUUUCCAAAAGGAAUAUUGAAGAACCUUUGUGUCCAAGUUGGUACCUUAUAUGCCCUAGCAGACUUCGUAGUGGUAGAGACCGGAAAUGAUGAGAGAGCACCUAUCAUCCUAGGGAGGCCAUUCUUGAACACCACGGGAGCUAUCAUCUACGCUAGUGCUGCCAAGAUCAGUUUCUACAUCAAAGGGAGGAAGGAGACAUUUUUCUUUAGGAACAAGACUACACAAAUUCCAGAUCAAUCCAGACGUGAAUCAAGGAAGAGGACCAACAGGAGGAACAGGAACAAGCAAGUGUGGACCGAGUCAGUUAAGAUGGUCACUACAAUUCAUGGUGGCCAAGAUCAUCAACUCAAGUCACCGUUUUUGACCAAGAAGGACAACCCAGGAAUGCCAAGCAUCUACUGCUCCAUAAAUGGAUACAACUUCUACAAGGCAACUUGUGACACCGGAUCGGGCAUCAACAUAAUGGCCGCAGUCACCUAUCGGCUCUUGUUCGGAACCAUGCCACUAAGACCAACAUACAUUCAGCUCCAGAUGGCAGAUCAGACAUUUUGAGAAGUUAAAGGAACAGUAACUGAUGUCCCUGUCAAAAUAGACGAUCAUUUUGUCUACACAGACUUUCAAGUUAUUGACAUGGGAGAAGAUGAAUAUGAUCCACCCAUCAUCCUUGGUAGACCGUUCCUCAGCACCAUUAAAGCAAUCAUGUACAUUGGAACCGGAGAAGCCCAUAUGCACUUCCCCUCAGAGAAGGUACGCCGUUAUUUUACUGACCCUAACUAUAUCGUUGAAGAAUCUAAGCAGGUCAGAAAACGACACAACCACAACCAGAGGAGGCAGAUCAUCAAGGACGGAUGGGCAGACUACGAAGGAGAAGUUGUAAGGUCAGAAGACGUAGAGUUUAAACAUAAUUAUCUAGAGGAGAUUGAAGCACCGAGUUGAGGUAUGGAAAAUGAAGAUAACUAUACAUGAAGAGGAGGCUCUGCCGGAAGUACCGACUACACCACCCAACGAACCUCAGGACAAUUGAGAAAAUGGAGAGUCCCGUUCGGAGGACUUAAAAACACCGAACGCCUUGCCAAGAGGUAAACUUGGUAGUUAUCCUUUCCCUUUCAAUUAUUUCAAAUAGUUUACUUAGUUAGUCAUAUUCGUACUAUCCUAAAAAGAAAAUAAAAAUAUGAAAAACAGUAAGCCCCAUGUGAGUAUGCGAGUGGCAUAAAACCCAUAAGUACAUUCACUGUUAUGGCAUAAAAAUAAAAUAAAAUAAAAAUUUCUUUUCUGCUUUAUAAAAAUGAAAAUAUAAAAACAGGGAGUAACGUUUAUUAAGGAGUCUCAAUAUGAUAAAGUCUAGAUAUUUAUGCUAACACUUAACCAGUUCCACAAGCUUUGUUGUCUAUUUGAGCUCCACAGAAUUUAAGAAUCAAGAAGACUAGCAGACGGAGGACAUUCUAAUCGCUGUCAGAAUGCUGCUGACUUUCAAAUACACCUCUGCCACCUGCUAGCUACAUCAAGAGAAAUUACGUCAAAAUUUAGCUUGGGGGAGAGCACCCCCAUUUAUCUCGAUAAGUAUUUCUAUCUAUCUAUCUUUAUACUUAUAUUAUUCUAGAAUUUAAAUAUAUAUAACUAUAGAAAACCAAAUAAAGAUUUUGUGCUUAUAUAUAUCUUUUGCUUAGUGUGUUUAAUAAAUAAAUAAAGUAGCUAUGCUAAUCUGUAUCUAAAUCAAGCAUGGAUAUGAUGAAUAGUUGCUCUGCCUAAUUUGCAAAUUUUAAGUUCUCUCUCAAGUUUAGACAUAACUGUUAUAAUUUAAGGCUUGCUCUAGACCUAAACUUGUGAGAUGAAAACUUGAUCUGAAGUCUAAGUUGUUAACGGAUACGAUAUGGGAAGGUUGAGCUGCUAUUUAUCUAUUCCUAGAGAUGCUAGAAUACUGGAGAAUUUUAUCUUUGAAAAUCUUUAAAAUGUUGGAUGAUGAGUUCCUAUAUGAUGAGAGUUUAAAUUCCUACCACAGCCAUAUAUACAUGCUUGCUAGACUUUGAGCCACACAUUUACUAUUUACUGCUUAUGAGCAUUGGGUGUGGUCAAGCUGUGUAGACCCUUAGGAGCUUGUCAUGUGGUUAAAUCAAGAUUUCACUUGCACGUUCACUCAUAUAUGCUACUUAUUCUCCGGAAGUACCAUCCACAUAUAUCCACCCAUUUUCAUCUCCAGAACCACCCAAAAAUAUUCUACUCCUAAUCCGGGAGAGAAUGACAAAAAAUAUUUCUGUUUUUCCCUUGUGAAAUAAAUGCUCAAGUUAUCUUGUUACUACCACUUGCUAUAUUAUCUCAAGAGAUGAGUGCUCUAAGAAAAAAAAAGAGAGAAUAUAUACCCACAAGUGUCCGACAGUAGAAUUAAGAGAUGAGUGCUCGGAACCUCGAAAGAAAAGAAAAAAAGUGAGACGAGAGGUAAAAAUGGACAAGUGUCCGACAGUAGAAUUAGGGGUACAAGAUACCCACCUGAGAGAAAAGAAAAAAAAAGAGAAAAGCAUCUCAUUCUCCUCAUAAAGUUUCAAAAAGCAAGGAAGGUAUGUAUCCUCUCAAAAGAGCAAAGUAGAAUUAGACUUCCACCACCAUUGUUUCUACCAUUGUUUUUACCAUUGUUAUCACCAUCAUCACCAUACACCAUUCAUUCGCCACACAUGCACAUCUUGAUUUGGCUUAUUGAUUUGUUACUUUGGAUCCAUGGUUUGACUAUGCAAUACAUGUCUUGUAAGUAUGUAUACUUUAUCUCCCACCUAUGAGCCCCAGAUAUUAAAGCCUUAUUAGAGUAGGGUGAGAGAGAAGACAAUGUCACUAUGCUUUAUACCACAAAUACUACAUAUCUUGAGAGAAGGCAUAUACCAUCACUGCCUUGGUAAGGAUCUAGAAAUACCACAAAAGAGAGAUCUGAGAGAGUCAUACAAGGAAUCUCUGAUUUUUAUUUGAAAAUCUGCAAAAACCCCAGAGUUAUAGCUGAUCAAGAAUAAGAGACAUGGCACUUGACUAGACUGUUCUAUCUUUUAACUACUAAAGACAGAAGUGAAGGUUACAAGUCCCAUGGUGAAGGUAAAGUAAGUAAGUUUUAAGUCUUGACAGUUUACUCUAACUCAGAGAUGAGAUCUUAUUUAAAAAGCAUGUGUACCGUC
Molecule: long non-coding RNA, 39669 nt
Filed under: Sorghum bicolor (sorghum)
Lineage: Eukaryota; Viridiplantae; Streptophyta; Magnoliopsida; Poales; Poaceae
Description: long non-coding RNA (SBIC_LNC003093)
Rfam family: Plant small nucleolar RNA R71 (bases 32407-32513)
Source: RNAcentral